UGGUGGUUGGGCAGCGCAGUGGCACAGCAGUAGAACUGCUACCUCACAGCGCCAGAGAUCCGGGUUCAACCCUGACCUCAGGUGCUGUCUGUGUGGAGUUUGUGCGUUCUCCCUGUGACCACAUGGGUUUCCUCUGGGUGCUCUGGUUUCCUAGGUUUGUAGGUUAAUUGGCCUCCGUAUAAUUGCCAUUAGUGUGUAGUGGGAUAACUAGUGUGAAAGGGUGAGCAAUGGUUGGUAUGGACUUGGUGGACCGAAGGCCCUGUUCCCAUGCUGUAUCUCUAAAUUAAACUAAAAUAACCCAGUUCAAAGUUUAUUCUGCCUGUUUAUUGAUAUGAGUGCUAAGGGGCUUUGCAUUCCACAUGACAGAAUGAGAACUGAUUUCCCCAAGAAAACAGGAAGCUUUUUUGAUCACAGCAAAUUUAGAACAGCUGCAGGAGAUACCCUGUGACCUGCUAACAUUUGUGCCACAUCAGUGCAUUGCAGAGUAAAUUGUGUCAACACACCAAAUGAGAUCAAAUACAAUUUAGUCGUGUAUAUCCCUUUAAAAUUAAUUAACUUUUUUAUAACUCAUCCAAAUACAGCUAAUUGUUCCAAAAUGUGCUGAAAAUCUGUGCUUUGCAUUAAAUCUUCUUAAUACACAUUAAGUGAUGUCUUCUCCAUUAUGUCUUGAUGCCUAAAUCAGACUUUUUUCCUUCUCAGUGGAGCAGCGGAGCUGUCUAAAUAAUUUGCCUGAAAGAAUGUGCUCCAUCUGUCAUUUCAUUAGUUUUACUGUGUUUCGCAAUAGUUCCCUUCUUAAUCUUUUAUUCCACACAUAAUUAAAAUCUGCAAUGGAAUUAACAGAUCCAUCUUUGCAAGGCAUUAACUUUGCAAGCUCGCAUUUGGAUGGUGAUGUUUCCAUGUGGAAGUUGUAGAAUAAGUUGUGCUUAUUCCUAAAAACUAUUUACAGAUCAAAAUAUAUUAAUUAAGAAUUGAUAUUUAUCUGGUGUUUCUUUUAACGUAGUAAACAAUCCAAAUUGUUUUUCAGAAGCGAGAUCUAAUAAAAACGGAUGUAUUCCAAGUUAACUGAGCAGACUUGGGUGGCACCGUGGCGCAGCAAUAGAGUUGCUGCCUUACAGCGGCAGAUAUCCGGGUUCGACCCUGACUACAAGUGCUAACUGUACAGAGUUGGUACGAUCCCCCUGUGACCUGCAUGGGUUUUCUCCGAGAGCUCCGGUUUCCUCCCCCACUCCAAAGAUGUACAGAUGUAGGACUACGUCCUCUGAUUAUAACACAUCGGUAAAUGAAGACCUGCUCCAGUUACUGGAAUGGAUUGCUGCAGCUUUUACAUUGGCUCACCACAUCCUGACCGAUCUUAGCAUUUGGUAAGGAAAUUGAUUCAACGGUGGAACAAAGUGGACAUUCAUGCUGGCGUCUUUUAACUUUUCUUUGGAAGGAAAGCAAUUCUAAUUCAUGGAAAUAAAAGAAUAUUGCGUAAAUGAUCAAGUGAAUUGGAAUUCAAUUAAUUGAUUGAUGAGAUGAAGAUGUGCUGUAGACUUCACAAGGUCUGUCUACUGCUUGUGAUACUUGAUGGGCUGCUGGGGAUGACAGGGACUAACACACCAGGCACCUAUUAACCUUUUUUUUAAAUUAUAUUUGGAGAUUUUAGUAGAAAACAGUUUUCAGUUACAAAAACAUGCUGAGGGAGACCUGCAAGCAAAACAAUGCUUUAAACUCCCACGCAGUGGAUCAGAUAAGGUCAACCCUUUCCAACUAACACCAAAAGUGUCCUAAAUUCUCCAGGUAAGGUCUAUCUUAGUCCGAGUCGACUGUCUGUGGUGUAAAAAUGCAUAAUUCAAAUGGAGGAAUUAAUGCAGAAAAUGCUUGCAAUACUGGACAGAUCAGACAGCAUCAAAGAUGGAUGCAAAAUGCUGAUGUUACGCAGCGAGGCAGGCAGCAUCUUUGGAGAGAUGGAAUGGGUGAAGUUUCGGGUCGAGACCCUUCUUCUGUCAGCAUCUAUGGAGAGUGGAAUAGGGUUACCAAUUCAGGCUGAUGAUCUUUCAAUAGAACAAGAGCAUUGAACCCGAAAUGGAGACAAAAUGAACUGCAGAGGCUGGAAUCUUGAGUAAAACACAAGGUGCUGGAGUGACUCAACAGGUCAGCCAACAUCUCUGGAGGACAAGGAUUAGUGAUGUUUCAGGCUGGAACACAUCUUCAGUCCGAGUGUAAUAGGAGGGAGAAAUCUGGGCAAGAAGUGUGAGUGGGACAAAGCCCAGCAAGUGGUAGGAGGGGGGUUGGGUGAAGUACAUUGACCAAAAAUGUUAAGUCUGUGUCUCUCAUCACGGUGCUGCCUGAUCUGCUGCGUGUUUCAUGCAUUUACUGCUUUAAUUUCCAGUAUCUACAGGUUUUUUUUGUUUUGAUUCUGGUAUAUUGGAUAAUUUGAAACCAGUGUUGGAAACCAUAUAAUCACCUGAAAAGAUUAUGUGUUGUGUUCAGUGUGUCAUGAUACCAAGUUAAAACAAUCUCGCCUGCCAUCCAUUCCCUGCAACUCAAGUUUAAUUUAGUUUAGUUUAGUUUAGUUUAGAGAGAUGCAGCGUGGAAACAGGUCCUUCUGCCCACCGACUCCCUGACUGACAAUCACCCCUUACACUAGUUGUAUCCCAAUCACAAGACACAAUUUACUGAAGCAAAAUCUGCCUACAAAUUGUUUUUUGUAUGUGUGAGCAAACUGGAGCAUCCAAAGAAAGCCCACGCGGUCACAGGCAGAAUGUGAAAACUCCAUACAGACAGCACCCCCAGACAGGGUUGUACCCGGGUCUCUGGCACUGUGAGGCCCCUGUCCCACUUUCACGACCUAAUUGGCGACCUCUGCCGAGUUUGCUCUUGACUCAUACUCGCCGCAUGGUCGCCACGAGGUCAUAGGAGGUCGUAGGAGGUCUUCGUAACUCUUCCUCAUGCUCGUGAGUGGUCUCCAUGUACUCGUGGCCUCAAGUGGGUCGCAGCGUUUUUUCCAGCCUGAUAAACAAUGUCCACGAGUAAAGAAAAUGUUGGCAUGGAAAAAAUUGAUACUUUUUACUCGUAGGUAGGUCUUAGGUAGGUCGUAGUAAGUCGUGAUGGUAGUCGUAGGUAGUCGUAGGUAGUCAUAGGUCGGUAACUGGCCCGAUGUGCAACCAUGACAUCAUUUUAUCAUGUGAUCAUUUUCCACUCGUAGCCCAGUCGUAGUUGGUCGUAGGUGUGGAAGACUGAGGUCGAGGGAGGUCGUAGGAGGUGGUAGACAUAUUCGUAAGAAGUCGUAGACAUAGUCAUAGGAGGCCGUAGGAGGUCUUUUGCUUCGGCGAAUCAACACGACCGUGACAUUUUUUUCAACUCUUCUAGUGUCUUCUAAACCUGUGGAUUAGGUUGUCCAAGUGGGACAGGCCCUUUAGGCAAUAACUCUAGCGUUGCACCACUAUGCCAUCCCAAAAGUCUCUUCUGCGGCCUUGCACUGACAUUUUAAUAACUCUGGCACUGGCCACUCAAAUCAGCUGCCCUGGGCAUUUUAAUUGUUGGUUUUACUGUAUUUUAACGUUGCUGUUUUACCUGCUUUUAACUAUUUAUACUGUUUCAUCAGGGACUGGAUUGUUUUUAUUGUUAUUAUGUGUGAAAUGUUUUAAGUUUCAUGUGCGAUGCUCCGGUAUUCCCUGGGAAACGUCUUCUCAUUUUGCACUGUACAACUGUUGCUUUGCAAGAUGACAAUAAAGGUUGAUUGAUUGAUUGAUUGAUUGGUAGCAUAUUCCAGGCACCCAACACUCUCUGUGUACCUAGCAACCACGUGGGGCAUUACUGAUAUUGGGGUGGGAGAGGAGGAGUGGUGGUGGUGGUGGUGGUGAGUGAGGGUACAAACAUUAAGAGGAAGAGACCCAUAUGCAAUUAACCACAUGUAGAAUGGAAAAAUGGGUACAUCGACAAAAGCACAUGUUUGAGAAGCUGGAUUAAAGCCAAAUUAAAGAAAAUGAAUAGGUUUGUUCCAACACGACAGAAAAAGAAGAGCAAAAAUGACACAAUGGAAAAUAUGCCCAAAAUAGCCUGAACAGUAAGUGGGAAUGUAGCAGUCACGACAUCAACAUGCUUAAUAUUUAUUUUAUAAAGUUGUUAUUAUAUCAAUAUGUACAUAGGCAUAGCAAUGUUUUUUUUGGUCAGAUUUAUGAUAUUUUUCUUUGUGUUUGGUCAUUUAAAAAAAAAUCUCAAAAUUAUUAUUAGCGGUGGAUGUAAGCAUUAAGGUGAGUGGGAUUGGCAUUCUAAAGAUGAUAUAGUGAGUUGGUUCAGGUAAAGAACAGCUAAGGGGCAAAAUAGAUUUUUUGUGAGUGUUCGGUAUAUGCAGUGGAUGGAUUAGAAGUGUUUUGAUGACCGGAUCAAUUAAAGCAGAGUUAGUAUCAGACUGAAGCCUCUGCCACAUUUUUAUAUUUCUCUCAUUAGUCAUCUUUUAAUGGCUUCAAACAAGACCGUCAGUGUGACAGUUUCUUGCCGAGUCACCUAGAUUACAAAUGGCAAACUGUCAUUCUUCCAACCACUCCUACAAGCAGUGAGAUUGAGAGCACAACCAUUCACUCCAUAAACAGGUUAUUUUACUUUCUCCUCCUUGUACCUCUUGUCUCUGCUCCUUAUCCUUGCGGUAAUGGGAACAACUUCUCUCGGUCUACCCUCUCUCAGUCCAUCAACAUCUUGCUUAAAUCUUUGCUCAAAAAUAACUCCUGUUUCACCAGUCUAAUUAUUUUACUGAAAUCCAUCAUCCUUGUAAUCAUUGUAGACAAUCUUUUUACACCAUUUUAAGAGCCUUCAAAUCCUUCCUGAAGUGUAGCUUGCCAGAAAUAGAUUCAAUUAUCUAGUUGGAGCUGAAGCAGUCUAUUAUAAAGCUUCAACCUCCCCUCUUUUUUUGGGUACUCUAUGUGCCUUUGUAGGAUGCCCAGGAUGUAGCAUGAUUUAUUCUCAAAGAUGGACACAAAAUGCUAGAGUAACUCAACGGUUCAGGCAGCAUCUCUGGAGAAAAUGGGCAGGUGACGUUUCAAGUCGGGACCCAUCUUCAGACAUUGUGGGAGUGGGGGGGUGAAGGCUGGAAGCAUGAAAAGACCAGGACAAAUCAGUGCCGGCAACUCAGGCAGGGAGGUUCUCGGAUAGGCCGAUUGUUGGCUGGAGUUGGCUGCGAUCCCGAGAGGGGUACAUCAUUGUGAACUGUGGAUCAGGUAUGCUUCUCGUAAAAGGAAAUAGUCCCAAUGUGGUGAAAUGGGAUUUGUGCUGUUGGGCAAUAAGAUUGGCAGGACUUGAAGGGCCAAAGAGGCCGUUUUGUGCUUUGUCGCUAUGUGUCAUUGCUGUUAAACAGACCUUUGAAUUAUUUAGGAUAUUUUAUUCAACAAAUGAAUAAUGUGCCGAAAUUCAGACUCCAUGGAUGCAAGAGGCAACUGGUGAAAAAGUUAAAUAUCUUUGGGAUAUUUUACUAUAUUAUUCUGUUGAAUGAUUACAAGGUUAACAAUGUUCUCUAAACUCAUUAGUUUUACAAAUAACUGAGGAAUAUUCCAUUCGACUUGCCUAGUCGGAACAAAUCCAUACCAUACAGAAAUACCUCAAAUCCACUAAGCAUGAUGUUAUCUCAAUAGCCCACAGUGCUACAGUAGGCCCCCUACCU
Leucoraja erinaceus (little skate) is the source of this 5635-nucleotide long non-coding RNA. RefSeq lists it as uncharacterized. The record is from RefSeq and is a predicted model, not a curated record. The transcript is spliced from 3 exons. Lineage: Eukaryota; Metazoa; Chordata; Chondrichthyes; Rajiformes; Rajidae.